RNAcentral lists this long non-coding RNA (706 nucleotides) under Nicotiana benthamiana. RNAcentral's name for it is "long non-coding RNA (NBEN_LNC007904)". Lineage: Eukaryota; Viridiplantae; Streptophyta; Magnoliopsida; Solanales; Solanaceae. The record is from RNAcentral.
AACAAGUAAAGAAUCAAACAUCACACAAAAUGAAUCAAUUCGAAACAACAGACAAUCAUAAGAUGUUAUCACAUAAGCAGCAAGUAAAAGAAAACCAAACAAAAAGAUCAAACAUAUACACUGAUUUCGGAUAAACAAUAAAUCAAACAAAUUGAAACAAGGACAAAAGAAAUGAAACUUGAACCAACUGACCGUAUCGAAACAAUAACGAACUCGAACGACAAACGACGACUUUGACGAACCUCAAGCUGGACCUUACCGAGCGACGAACAAUAUGAAUAUGUCGAAGAAGAAAACAACGCUGUAGUGGGGUGGUUGCUCAGACAAAGCAGCAUCGUGGUUUUGAUCUGCUGCUCGUGUUGAGGACGAAGAAGACGAAGCAGUAGCAGCUGGAAUGCUCGACGAUGGAGCAGGUCUGGUCGUUCAUGGCUGACUGUUGGUGAAGUAGUGGUGUUUGGACGCGGGCUGGAGGCUCGGAGAUGGUUCAGCUGGUGACUACACGGGUUGGGAGGUAGCUGGUCGUUGACGUGAGGGCAGGAGGUUCAGGCGACUGGAAAGGGCCGUCAAGUUUGCUGGUUGACUAGCGGGAAAGGGUGGUCGACGCGGAGCAGUGGUGAAGCAGCUACGAAGGUCGAUGGGAAAAAAUGGAGGUCGUUUCGGUGUGGCAGCUGGGGGGUCUCUUAGGGUUUGGGAGGGUGGUUUGGAG